GGCGAACGCUGGCGGCGUGCUUAACACAUGCAAGUCGAACGGGUCUGCCCUGUUUUUUGCGGGGUGGGUCAGUGGCGAACGGGUGAGUAACACGUGAGUAACCUGCCCCUCACUUCUGGAUAACCGCUUGAAAGGGUGGCUAAUACGGGGUGUUCUGGCUGUGCCGCAUGGUGUGGCUGGGAAAGAUUCACUUUUGUGGUGUUUUGGUGGGGGAUGGGCUCGCGGCCUAUCAGCUUGUUGGUGGGGUGAUGGCCUGCCAAGGCUUUGACGGGUAGCCGGCCUGAGAGGGUGGGCGGUCACACUGGGACUGAGAUACGGCCCAGACUCCUGCGGGAGGCAGCAGUGGGGGGUAUUGCACAAUGGGCGGAAGCCUGAUGCAGCGACGUCGCGUGAGGGAUGGAGGCCUUCGGGUUGUGAACCUCUUUCGCCGGUGAAGAAGGUCCUGCUCUUUGUGGUGGGGUUGACGGUAGCCGGGUUAUGAAGCGCCGGCUAACUACGUG
Molecule: ribosomal RNA, 500 nt
Filed under: uncultured bacterium
Lineage: Bacteria
Description: partial 16S ribosomal RNA
Rfam family: Bacterial small subunit ribosomal RNA
Source: RNAcentral